Long non-coding RNA from Oxyura jamaicensis (ruddy duck), 1669 nucleotides. RefSeq lists it as uncharacterized. The transcript is spliced from 2 exons. Lineage: Eukaryota; Metazoa; Chordata; Aves; Anseriformes; Anatidae. The record is from RefSeq and is a predicted model, not a curated record.
ACCAGACCAUACGACCUUAAAACAAUAUGUGGCUUGUGAGAGCAAGGUUGAAAGGGCAAAAAAUGUCACAGGGACUGUGAGGAAGCCACAGACCCUCUGAGGCCUCUCCAGACGCAGGUUCACACCUGCCUUCGGAGCAGGUAAUGGUCUCUUCUAAUGCUGUUUCUCCUGUAGGUGAAUACAAGCAAAUAGCCAGCCCCAGGCAGUGCACCUGCCUGUGAGAUACACUUCAGUGGCUCACCCUGGGCUGCUGUUCCCCAGGUUGUACGUGUUGAACAGGGCUGCUCACAGAAUGCUCCCAGCUGUGUUUGGGGGUGUUUCAAGGCAGUGCCCACCUCGCCUCACUUGCCCCCUACAAAGCGAAUGACAGCACAGGUUUGUCACCAUCAGCAACAGCAUUUUAAGUCCCUGUUGAUGUGAGCAAUGUUAGAGAGUCCCGUGUGUAACGUGCUGCUGGCCAGACCCUGGCUGUAACCUAAACCAGGGCUGAACGUGCCCUUGAUUCUGCCCUGGCAGGAGAAGAGAGGAUCUUGCGCCUUCCAAAUUGUUGCAGGCAUGAAAAGAAACAUGGCGUUUGCUUUCUUAAAAUUAUUUUUGAUUCAGGGUAGCAUUAAACAGGUUGAGCAAGUAUAGCAGAGUCACCCCUGGGAAAGGCAACCUGAAAGGACUUUCCCAGGGAGACAAAUCCCGAUCUGGCAGUUGUAAAGCUCCUGCAGCUGUUGAGUAGGGUUCUAGGAAAAACAACAGGACAGCGAGGCAGGGCUGACAGCUGAACUGGUACAGGUGGUGGAAAGUGAUGCUGCCUCACCAGGAACUGCAGUGACCAACAGCCUCUCUUCAGCUGUAUAAAAGUAAAGCAUGCCACAGAGCAGGCUUUGGAGCGUUACAAACAAAGCUGUUUCAGGAGCCAAACACACCGGGAUAUUUGCUGGUGAGUGCAACUGGAUUUUCCAUCUGGAAGGCAUGACUGUCUGGCCCAGAAGCCAAUUUAAAGUACAAAUUAGAUCUGGCUGCUUGUCAGAGUCUCCUCCCCAAAAUGCAAUAAGGACAGGGUGGUUAUAUAAUGUAAACCAUUCUCGGUAAUUUAGUGGUCCUGAAACAACAAACAAGCCAAGGAGGGGGAAAAAUGGUUUGCAGCAGAAUUCAAAGCUGAAGGAUUCGGGUAGAGGAAUUCAGUCCAUCUGAUCCGGCAGAGAUGUGUGCUGCUAUUCCUGUACGUCUUGAAAGGAAGCUGCCACCAGAUCCUCUGCUAUUUUCUCUUCACAGGGCCCUACUGAUAGGCAUGAUAUUUCAGCCUCCGCGCUAACUCCCGCGCUCCAAGUAUGCAGGGACAGUUGUGUGUGUGGCCCCGCACCUUUCCCUGCUGCCGGGGCACGGCAGGAGGCAGCUCCUGCUGACACGCAGCGAAGCCCUCGGGCAUGGCAAACCUCUGCAGAUGACAGUGGCUACGGUGGCUUUGCCCAGAUCUGUCGUGAUGUCUGCGGUGCUGUCUGCUACCUGUGCAGGAUGCUGCCUGGUACGGGCACGAUGGGCUUUUGCAAGGUCCUACCACCCAGGCUCUGUGAGAAAUGAGAUAACGGCAACAAUCAGGCCAGCGGAGAUGACCAUCUCUACAGGCUCCCACGGCACUGAGCACGACCUAUUAAAAAUCAGCUCCAGAUCAGGAGGA